Molecule: long non-coding RNA, 216 nt
Filed under: Elaeis guineensis (African oil palm)
Lineage: Eukaryota; Viridiplantae; Streptophyta; Magnoliopsida; Arecales; Arecaceae
Description: long non-coding RNA (EGUI_LNC060444)
Source: RNAcentral
CAGAAUAAGUAAGGCUAUUAGAAGGAACAAACUGAUUACUAACUAACUGCAGUAAAUAAAACUAACAAAACGAACAGACUAACUGCAAUAAAUAAACUAAACUAAGUAAGCGCAGAGCAAACCAAGAAUGAAAAAGACUACUAAAAGAAAGAAAUAAAACUUAACUAAGAAAAUACAGUAAAUAAAAUAGAAACUGUUGGUGCAAAAAUCUGCCUG